UACAGAGGUCUCAAGCGUUGUUCGGAUUCAUUGGGCGUAAAGGGUGCGUAGGCGGCGCGGUAAGUCGGGUGUGAAAUCUCGGAGCUUAACUCCGAAACUGCAUUCGAUACUGGCGUGCUUGAGGACUGGAGAGGAGACUGGAAUUCAUGGUGUAGCGGUGAAAUGCGUAGAUAUCGUAAGGAAGACCAGUGGCGAAGGCGGGUCUCUGGACAGUUCCUGACGCUGAGGCACGAAGGUCAGGGGAGCAAACGGG
This 253-nucleotide ribosomal RNA is filed under the name uncultured bacterium. Its description in RNAcentral is "partial 16S ribosomal RNA". It matches the Rfam family "Bacterial small subunit ribosomal RNA", at positions 524 to 776 of the family's 1533-position model. The record is from RNAcentral.